GACGAACGCUGGCGGCGUGCUUAACACAUGCAAGUCGAACGUGAUUUUUGUGGAAAUUCUUUCGGGAAUGGAAAUGAAAUGAAAGUGGCGAACGGGUGAGUAACACGUUAGCAACCUACCUUACACAGGGGGAUAGCCGUUGGAAACGACAAUUAAUACCGCAUGAGACCACAGAAUCGCAUGAUAUAGGGGUCAAAGAUUUAUCGGUGUAAGAAGGGCUCGCUUCUGAUUAGCUAGGUGGAAGGGUAAAGGCCUACCAAGGCGACGAUCAGUGGCCGGUAUGAGAGGCUGAACGGCUACAUCGGAGCUGAGACACGGUCCAAACCCGUACGGGAGGGAGCAGUGGGGAAUAUUGCACAAUGGGGGGAAAUCUGAUGCCGCGACGACGGGUGUGCGAAGAAGGUUGUUGAAACGUAAAGCUCUGUGAUAUGAGAAGAUAAUGACGGUAUCAUAUGAGGAAGCCCCGGCUAACUACGUG
This 478-nucleotide ribosomal RNA is filed under the name uncultured bacterium. RNAcentral's name for it is "partial 16S ribosomal RNA". It matches the Rfam family "Bacterial small subunit ribosomal RNA", at positions 28 to 507 of the family's 1533-position model. The record is from RNAcentral.